Molecule: non-coding RNA, 228 nt
Organism: Vicia faba (fava bean)
Lineage: Eukaryota; Viridiplantae; Streptophyta; Magnoliopsida; Fabales; Fabaceae
Source: the annotation of a GenBank genome assembly
AUGAACAUUUAUUUUUGUAUAUUUCUCGAGCAUUUUGAUUUCCUCUGCUUCUCCAACAUUUUGACUUCCUCAGUUACUAAUGUUGUGGAAAUAACUUGCAUUUUUUUACUCAGGAAUGUUGUCAAUUGGAGAAGAAUGUGCAAUCUAAUCAUAUUACCUGGUUAUAGUGUAUGUUUGGAAUUUAAAUUAGGAGACCUAGUUUUAUGCAUAAUAUGGAAUUUAAAUUAG